Molecule: long non-coding RNA, 1253 nt
Organism: Homo sapiens (human)
Lineage: Eukaryota; Metazoa; Chordata; Mammalia; Primates; Hominidae
Exons: 8
Source: RefSeq, a predicted model, not a curated record
GGGCAUUUUCAUCAACUAUAAUAUGGAGGACAAUAGUUUUUCACAGAGUUGUGGCGGAUAGUAUAAACAUAAUAUAUUUUGAAGCACCUAGCACAGGGGCCAAUGGCUACCCUAAAGUAAAAUGAUUCAUUCAUGACAGAAAAAAGGAGACUUUGCCCAUAAACUUCUCCUAAACUAUUAUAGAAAUGAUGCUUUGAGGAUCUCAUCUUCAUUCUAAACGUAGCAGAGUGGCUUGAAGGGUUAAGUGCCACACAGGACCUGACUAAAAUCCUGUGAAGAGAGGAGGGGUGUCCCCAGCUGUUCUCACUGUGCAUAAUCCUGGAAGAAGUUCAUGGUGCUUCCUGUAUUAACAUCCUUGCAAGUGGUACCUGCCUCUCUGAGGAUCCAGCUACGCAAUGAAUCUGAGAAAGCUUAAAAUCGGAAAUGCUGCUCUAGUAAUGGUUCUCAAACCCUGGUGGUCUUGACAUACAGGUCUUAUUAAAACACAGUUGCUGGGCUCCACCUAAGAGAUCUGGAUUCUGAAUUUGUAUGUCUAACAAGUUUCCAGAAGUUUGAUGCCACAAUGGAUGCUACCAAUGACACCAUUUGAUUUGGAAAUAAGGAGAUAGGCCCAAGUUUUUAUCGGACACACCCCUCAUUCUUCGUUCAUCACAGCAUCCCUGAAAUUGAAAGCCAGCAGCGACCCGAGUCAAUUUUCUACACUCAAAUUUGCAUGCCUGGUGUAAAUUUCCAGGAGCUUUCCUCCUGGAAAGCCAGUGUCUCAUACGCCUCCCAGCAAACACUGACCACAUCCUGAACGAAGCUAAGCACUGUGUAAUGCUAAGCAGACCUGGGCCCGUAGGAAACAAGAUGCCACAUUCGGGACAGCUGUCAGCACUCAUCCAACACCCUGCCUUCCACUCGUCCAUCCCUGCAAUUAGUGAGGAGUGAGGUUUGGAGCUGUGCCAAUUCAACCUGGAAUGGGAAACAUCGAGCUCUGACACCCUUAAGAGCUACCAAGAUUUUGUGAUGGAAAUGAAGCUGACAGUUUUGUCAGGGAUGUGAGAAGCAGAAUCAGAUUCAGCUAGUUCCUGCGGAGAUGUGCUGGCUCUAUCAAGAUGAAGAUAAUAAAAAACAUACCUGAGCAGUAUAAUAAUUUAGCCACUUCAAGUCAUCAGUGUAUUCCACAAAUUAGUUGACUAACAAAUCUGGCCAAUAUAACUAUCAACAGAAAGGAGGUUUCCUAAGUGUCUGGACAAAAAGAGACCUAGGGG